This is a non-coding RNA of Myodes glareolus (Bank vole), 404 nucleotides long. The record is from RefSeq and is a predicted model, not a curated record. Lineage: Eukaryota; Metazoa; Chordata; Mammalia; Rodentia; Cricetidae.
UCCCUGUCCCAUACCUUUUUUUUUUUUUUUCAAAAAUGCUAUAUCCCUUGCCUCUUUAAUUUCAAUUCUAUUUUGGAAUAGUGCCUUCCUUAGCUGCCUCUGCUGGCCUUGAACUUGCUCUGUAAGCAAGGUGGACUUCAGGUGUGCCAUUCUCCUGCCUCAGCCUUUUGAGUUGCUGUGCUUUCAAGUCUUCAUUACCACACUUGGCUUAUAUGAUUCAUCUUCGUUGUUUAAGGAAGAGAAUCAGGGUCGGGAAGUCAUAAGCCUCUAGUCUCAUAAGUAGCUGGCAUGAACUCUUUGUGUGGCUGAAGAUGACCUUGAAUUCCCGUCUGCCUUUGGGAGCAUCCCUGUUCUUGGAUUUCAGUUUAUUGAUAUGGUGGAUUAUACUGACAGAUUUUCAUAUG